ACUCAACAGUUUCCUUCGGGAAACCGUUAGGUUAGCGGCGGACGGGUGAGUAAUACGUAGGUAACCUGCCCUUAAGACCGGGAUAACUCACGGAAACGUGGGCUAAUACCGGAUAGUCGAUUUCCUCGCAUGAGGGAAUCGGGAAAGGCGGAGCAAUCUGCCACUUAUGGAUGGACCUACGGCGCAUUAGCUAGUUGGUGGGGUAACGGCUCACCAAGGCGACGAUGCGUAGCCGACCUGAGAGGGUGAUCGGCCACACUGGGACUGAGACACGGCCCAGACUCCUACGGGAGGCAGCAGUAGGGAAUCUUCCGCAAUGGACGCAAGUCUGACGGAGCAACGCCGCGUGAGUGAUGAAGGUUUUCGGAUCGUAAAGCUCUGUUGCCAGGGAAGAACGCUAUGGAGAGUAACUGUUCCAUAGGUGACGGUACCUGAGAAGAAAGCCCCGGCUAACUACGUGCCAGCAGCCGCGGUAAUACGUAGGGGGCAAGCGUUGUCCGGAAUUAUUGGGCGUAAAGCGCGCGCAGGCGGUCAUGUAAGUCUGGUGUUUAAACCCGGGGCUCAACUCCGGGUCGCAUCG
Molecule: ribosomal RNA, 580 nt
Filed under: Paenibacillus popilliae
Lineage: Bacteria; Bacillati; Bacillota; Bacilli; Caryophanales; Paenibacillaceae
Description: bacterial SSU rRNA
Rfam family: Bacterial small subunit ribosomal RNA
Source: RNAcentral